UGUAGUAAUUCACAGUAAGACUUAACCACUUGCCUUCUCCAUCAGGAUUGGCUAGCUGAUGAUCGGCAACAACUUUGAACACGUUUUGAGCAUUUGGCGUCAAACUCUGUAAAACUAUUGAAGCCGUCUUCACAGUUUGUGUGCUGCCACUGUGAGCUAGAAUCGGAGGAAAGAAUAUUCCUUCGACCUUGUAGGGUGCAUAGGUAGGAACGUGGUACCAGUACCAAUUGAACUCGGUGUGUACCAUCUUCUUGUUCCAUACUGGUAGAAGCAAUGAAAAAUAUUCAAGAACAACAUUUCCCUAUAUAUAUAUAUCAUCAACAACAGAACUACAAAAUGAGAAGAAACUUACAUAAAGGUGCAUUCACAUGAUCAAUGGAAGCCACCAUGAGAAUAUGAGAACAAGCUGCAAGUCUAGCCAGAAAUUGCUGAGACUCUGAAUCACGCAAACAGGGCCCGUCAAUAUUGUUCACCACAACACAAAUAAAAGAUUCACCAUCCUCCAAAUGUGGGCCAUCCAGAAAUGAAAUAAGAUCAUCCGUGGAUUGGGUAUGAAAUGGUUGCUGGUUCUUAACAUGAUUUUCCAAUUUCCUUUGGGUUUUCAACCGCUCCCACAGAAGUUCAGCUAAUGUAACUGUAACCUACAAAUUCCACAUCCAUGAAUUGUUUAGCAUUGUGAGGAUACUGAAAAUUUAUCUUCAAGUCAUCCAUAAAAAGAAUCAGUAUGGAGACAACCAUAUAAAAGUAGUGAAAAAACAUACAUAGGGGAUCCCCGUGUUCUGAUAGAACUGUAACAUUACUCUACAUAACCAGUUAUUAUAAAUGUUGAAUAUCUUAUAAAGAUGAAAUACAAAGAGCAUAGAUGAAAUUACGAUAAUUGUAAAGGGAAGUUACAAGAAAAGGAUGCCAAAUUAAGUUUUAAUUUAGACUACCCAAAAUUUGGUAUUCCUGACUUAAGAUAAUGUUUCCUCUGAACAGUCUUAGACUCGGGCACAAUUUUUUGGCACAGCAAUACAUGGUAAUAUUUCUAGUCGAUCGAGAAAUUCUAUUGGUGGUCAUGUUUUUUUACCAUACCCUUACCCAAAUGUUGUCCAAGGUAGUGAGUGUAUUUCUUCAACAUUUUCAAGAAGGUCCUCAGGCAUAGUUAAUAGCAAGCACACCUAAGUAAGUAUAAAACUCUUAUACAUACCAAAAAGUUUUUACUCAUUUAACUAGCUAACAAUGAUAUAUUAGACCUUUGUGAAAGAGAGGAAUGUUGAAGUAACAUUAACGAUUAUAGAAGCAUUAAGUAGCUAGAAAAUUGUCGUUAUCAUCGAAUUGCUGCCAAAUUUUUCACAGGGUUAGUACUUGAGAAGUUGAUGGGGAAGAAGAGUCAAAGAGCAUCCUGUUGUUAUGUCCUGAAAGGAAUUUAGAAGGUCCUUGAAUUCAUAUUGUAAGAGUCAAAGUUUCAUUGCAAUAGUUCCCCAAUUAAAUUACUUCAGCAGAUAAAGAAGACAUCCUGCAGCUUGACCACAAAAACUGCAAUUUGUAACAUCUGUGUUUUGUAAUUUGUCUGGUAAGAUGUUCCAAUAUUUAAGUAUUAAAUCAUACUAACAACAAAGAUGAUAGCAAAAUGAUCAGUCAAUUCAUUGUAGUUUAAGAUCCAUUACUAGUUGAUUACAACCAUUUAAACAAAAUCUUUGUACAGUCUUACCCUCAUUUUCUUUCCCAAAAAAGUAGAAUUAUUUAAAUUAUCUGCAUAAAAAUGAAAUAAAAAUAUCUUCAUUUGCAUUUAUUUCAGCUAUACGGUCUUUGAUUUCUCUUGUACAGUUAACUUCACUAAAACCCGCAGUUCAAGAUCUAGAAUGAGGUUACAAUCCAUUGCCAAUCAACUACUAUUUUUCCCCGAAGGAUGAGAAGAUGAGAACAAAAUGCGAACAACUUGCCACCAGAAAUCCAUGUUACAACUGAGUUAUGUUUAGUUAAUCUUCAUAAUCCAGCCAACAUCUUCACAUCAAAUUAAAUGAAGAACAAAUGUGUAAAGAGACAAGAAGAUAAUGAAUGAUUACCCAUGACCAAUAACACAAAGAUAUAACAGAAAACAAGCAUAAAAAGGUGAGAUUAUAAAGUAACAACAUCAUUAUCCGUACCUGUUUAAGAUUGAUUGACUGAAGAUAUCCAUUGAUCACUACAACAGAAUAAUCAGUUAAUGCNGCAAGGGAAAAAAACAUCACAUUUGUUAUGCAAAGGCAUAUGUAGUAAUUCACAGUAAGUACUUAACCACUUGCCUUCUCCAUCAGGAUUGGCUAGCUGAUGAUCGGCAACAACUUUGAACACGUUUUGAGCAUUUGGCGUCAAACUCUGUAAAACUAUUGAAGCCGUUCUUCACAGUUUUGUGUGCUGCCACUGUGAGCUAGAAUCGGAGGAAAGAAUAUUCCUUCGACCUUGUAGGGUGCAUAGGUAGGAACGUGGUACCAGUACCAAUUGAACUCGGUGUGUACCAUCUUCUUGUUCCAUACUGGUAG
RNAcentral lists this long non-coding RNA (2504 nucleotides) under Salvia miltiorrhiza (redroot sage). RNAcentral's name for it is "long non-coding RNA (SMIL_LNC004895)". The record is from RNAcentral. Lineage: Eukaryota; Viridiplantae; Streptophyta; Magnoliopsida; Lamiales; Lamiaceae.